This 11804-nucleotide long non-coding RNA is filed under the name Malus domestica (apple). RNAcentral's name for it is "long non-coding RNA (MDOM_LNC016942)". Lineage: Eukaryota; Viridiplantae; Streptophyta; Magnoliopsida; Rosales; Rosaceae. The record is from RNAcentral.
ACACUGAUCUGCAGAGAUUCAGAACAAAUUCUCUCCCCAAAGACAUUUUUCGCCUAAUUUCCAGGCUCAAAUCAUUCAGCCAUGCAAAUAAAGGAACAUAAUCUGAUGGAUCACAAAAACAGGAAAAAGAAUCAAGCCAUGAAUGCACCCUGGUACAGUAAUUUUCAUGCCAAAAUGUUAGAUUUUGGUUUUAUAUGUGAAUCUGAAUGAUGAAGGUGCAGAAGAAUUUUGGACUGAUAUGACAGCAAGAGCAAAAUGAAGAGAGAGGUUUGCAAAUCUGAAAGAAUGUUACUCUGAACAUUGAAUCAUCAUAUUCAUCACUUUGAGCUAGUGAGCUCAGAAAGGACAAAAUAUAACCGUUCGAGGGAGAGAGUUUUGCAAUUCAACUCAAUCUCAACCAGUCAUCUUACAACUUAAGAGAUUAAGACACAUGACAGUUACUAAGACCUAUAAGACUUAAUAAGCAAAAUACAAUUCAAAUGAUUAGCCUGCCAAUAUAAGCACAGACUAAUUUCACAUAUAAAUAAGUACAUCAAUUUAUAAUCCAACACUCCCCUUUAAAUUGUGGACUGAUUUUACUCCAAGAAGCUCUCUGAGAUGAUUGAAGUGACCCUUUGCUAAAGCUUUUGUGAAUAUAUCUGCAACCUGCUCCUUGGUUGGGAAAUAGACCAAAUCAAUCACUCCUUUCUGCAAAGCUUCCUUAAGAAAUGAUACCUCCUAUUCAUGUGCUUGGUUUUUUGAUGGAAUAUGGGAUUCUUAAGAGAUGAAUAUUGCUGAAGUGUUGUCACAAUUGAGUUGCCUCAGUUUCAACUUCUCCAAAAUCCUCUAAAAACAAACCUUAGCCAAGUAGCUUAAGUUGUAGCUUUUGCAGCAUUUAUGUUCUCUGCUUCUGCAGUUGACAGUGCUAUGCAAUGUUGCUUAACAGAGGCCCAUGAAAACAUUCCACUUCCAAAGGUGAAAGCAUAACCGGAUGUGCUGCUCAACAUCUUCAGAGCCACUCCAAUCACUGUCGCAGAAUCCAAUUAGUAUGGCUCCUUUUCCUUUCUUCUACUCCAAGCCAAAAUCCAAAGUCCCUUGAAUAUAUCUUAGAACUCUCUUUGCAGUUCCAAAAUGUUCGUUUGAGGGACAACGUAUGAAUCUAGCUAGCAAACAGGCAACAUACAUUAUGUCUGGCCUUGUUGCAUUAAGGUAUACCAGGCUACCAACAACCUUUCUAUAUUGAGCUUCAGCAGCAGCACCACUAUCAUCUUCUUUCCUUAAUUUGUCACUAGGAACUAAUGGUGUGCUCAUAGGUUUACAAUGUUGAAGACCAAACCUUUUGAACAGUGAGGAAGCAGAUUUACUUUGAUGAAUGAAAAUGCUUGCCUCAGUUUGUAUUACUCCCGUGCCAAGAAAAUGGUGUAGAAGCCCAAGAUUAGUCAUCUCCUUUAUUAAGUCCUGACUGCUUCCAAUAUAAAUGAUAUCAUCAACAUAGAUAGACACUAUGAGAAUUUCUGCACCAUCUGUACUUUUGGUAUACAAGGUUGCUUCACUAGUUCUUUUCUUGAACCCACACUGACCCAAAUAGGAAUCAAUCUCUCUAUACCAGGCGCUUGGUGCCUGUUUCAAACCUUAUAGAGCCUUGUACAAUUUGUAAAUCUUGUUUUCUUCUCCUUUCACAAGGAACCCCUCUAGCAGAUCAACAUAAAACUUUUGUAGACUUAACAUCCAGCUAAAACAACUUCCAAUUCUUCUGUGCAGCUAGAGCAACGAGGGUCCAGAUUGUGUCCAAUCUAGCUACAGGAGCAAAAGUUUCAUGAAGUCAACUCCUAGCUCUUAUGCAUAUCCCUUUGCCACCAGCCUUGCCUUGUUCUUUUGCACCGAACCAUACAGGUUGAAUUUGGUUUUCUACACCCAUUUAACUUGAAUAAUAGGUUUAUCCAUUCGUCUGUUCACCCGUUCCCAAGUAUUGUUCUUCUCAAUCAUGUCCAUUUCUUCCUCCAUUGCUUUUGUCAAUGAAUCAUAUUGUGCAACAUCUUCAAAAUUUUCAUGCUCAACAAUGCAGAGACUGCAGUGUUGACAAAUCUCAUUUAAGUUUCUCCAUCUCAAGGGGGUUGAAUCAUAACUCUCUGAAUCUAGCAGACCAGUCUGUGAACUAGUAACUGGACUUUGUCAACUAGAAGAUUCACUGAGUGUUGAUGAUGACAAAGGAGUUGUGGCAAAAGGUUGACAUUGCUGCACUGGCAUAGCAAUUCCUUCAGUCUCACUCAAUUCCAUAAAAUCAGUAGAAAUGAGCGGAACACAUAUCUCCUUGACUUUAAGUUUCUUCCAGUCCCAUUUUCCAUUCUCAUAAAAAAUCACAUCUCUAGAGAUGGUCACUUUCUGUAUUGCAGGAUUAAACACUGUAGCCUUUUUCAUAGCCUUUUUCAUGAGUUCCAUAGCCAAUAAAGAUGUCUUUAGCACUUGUCUCCUCCAAUUUGUGUCUCAAAUUGUUUAGUGUGUAUGUAUAACACACCGAACGAAACACUUUGAGACAUUUAAUCCCUGGUUUUCUCCCACUGAACAUCUCAAAUGGUGUCACAUUCUCUAGAGCUUUUGUAGGCCAUCAAUUCAGCAUAUACACAACAGUGUUUACUGCUUCACCCCAGAGGUUGUAUGAAAGAUCCUUCUCAUGCAACAUUUAGCCAUCUCAAUUAUUGAUCUGUUCUUUCUAUACAACUCCAUUUUGUUGUGGAGUGUAAGCAACAGUGAGUUGCCUUUCCAAGCCUAGAGACUCACACAAUCCAAGGAAUUCAUUUGAAGUGAACUCCCCACCUCUAUCUGUCCUCAGCCUUUUCAGAAAGUAACCACUUUGUAAUUCCACCAUGGCCUAGAGUUUCUUGAAGAUAAAACACAUCUGACUUGUUCCUCAAGCAGAUCCAACACAUUCUUGAACAGUCAUCAAUGAAUGGAAGGAAAUACCUAUUCCCACUCAUUGUUGGAACUUGCAUAAGGCCACGCACAUCUGAGUGCACUAACUCAAGUGGCUCCUUUGCUCUCCAGGAUGACUCCUUCAGAAAUGAGUCCUUGAUGUUCCUAUAGCACAACCAUGGCAUAAUCAUCUGUCUCCUGAAUUUCAGGUAAGCCUAGCACCAUUUCUAGUUCUUACAAUUGCUUCAAACUCCAGUAAUUCAUGUGCCCAAAUCUUCUAUGCCAAAGUGUAGCACUCUGAUGAACAUUGGUUCUCAAUGGAAGUUGAUGACCAGUGGAAACACGUAUUCCCCUUUGUUUUACACUCACAACCAAGUUUGUCAAUGACUAGUCAUCAAACACAUCCACCUGUAGUCUCCAAAUAACAGAAAAUUCCAUGUUCUGUCAUCUGUCCAACACUAAACAAAUUCUCUGCAAGUCCAGGUACCAUCAUCACUUCUUUUAUGUAACUCUUGCCUUUCAUUGUGUCAAUGACCAGUGUUCCUUUUCGUUUCACAUCAACCAAGACUCCUGUACCAACUUGUACUUAUUCUUGUUUAUGUCAAUAUUCACAAGCAGGUCUUCCCUUGAGGUCAUAUGAUUGCUGCAUCCACUUCUAUGUACCACACACAUCACAGUUUUUCUUCACAUUAUUUGAGUGACUGGCAUAGAACAAAUUUCCAGUAAAACUGACCUGCUGCAUAACUUUGUUGAGGUUGCGGUUCUUAGCUACAACAACAACAACAAAGCCUUUUCCCACUAAGUGGGGUCGGCUAUAUGAAUCCUAGAACGCCAUUGCGCUCGGUUUUGUGUCAUGUCCUCCGUUAGAUCCAAGUAAUCAAGUCUUUUCUUAGGGUCUCUUCCAAAGUUUUCCUAGGUCUUCCUCUACCCCUUCGGCCCUGAACUUCUGUCCCGUAGUCACAUUUUCGAACCGGAGCGUCAGUAGGCCUUCUUUGCACAUGUCCAAACCACCGGAACCGAUUUUCUUUCAUAUUUCCUUCAAUUUUGGCUACUCCUACUUUACCUUGGAUAUCCUCAUUCCCAAUCUUAUCCUUUCUCGUGUGCCCAUACAUCCCACGAAGCAUCCUCAUCUCCGCUACACCCAUUUUGUGUACGUGUUGAUGCUUCACCGCCCAACAUUCUGUGCCAUACAACAUCGUUGGCCUUAUUGCCGUCCUAUAAAAAUUUUUCCCUUGAGCUUCAGUGGCCUACGACGAUCACACAACACGCCGGAUACACUCUUACACUUCAUCCAUCCAACUUGUAUUCUAUGGUUGAGAUUCUCCAUCUAAUUCUCCGUUCUCUUGCAAGAUAGAUCCUAGGUAGCGAAAACGGUCACUUUUUGUGAUCUUCGUUAGAUUGCUCCGGUCAUUAGUGUGGGAUAAGUAUAUAAAUGGAUAGAGAUAGGAAAGCAAACACAAGAUGUACGUGAUUCACCCAGAUUGGCUACGUCCACGGAAUAGAGGAGUUCUCAUUAAUUGUGAAGGGUUUACACAAGUACAUAGGUUCAAGCUCUCCUUUAGGGAGUACAAGUGAAUGAUUUAGUACAAAUGACAUUAGGAAAUAUUGUGGGAGAAUGAUCUCGUAACCACGAAACUUCUAAGUCCCGGAGUGUGGUAUCGGCUUGACUUUCCUUAUCUAUCUCAUAGGUAGAUGUGGAAUCUUCUCUGGAAGUACUCUUCCUCCAUCCAGGGGUGGUAUCUGUAACUGGUGGAGAUGCACAAGGUAAUGUAUCAAUGUCACUUGAAGCUUACUUGUAGUUUCAGGCUUGGUCAAGCGCGAUACAAACCAUGUAGUAGGAGUCCCCAAGUCGCCGAGCUAGGGGAUCUGCUGAAAGAGGUAACAGACAAGGUAAGCAAUCAGAGCUCCGGCUGAUUGUUCACAUUCUCCCUAUCUUGCAGGCAGCAUGAAGGAUAAAGAGAAGAAAAAUGAGAAGAGAUGAUAUGGGAUACUUUUGCUUUUGAAGAAGUAACUUUCCACAGGCUUAUUCUUGAACUGGGCUGGAGGGUUUUCUGGUUUCCUCCAAAGUAUAAGGCCGACUGAAGAAUUUGAGGGUCAAAACAAGUCCAUCAAAUCUAGAGUACGUUCGACCCUGCUGAUAUGGGAUACUUUUGCUUUUGACAGAGUAGUGGAUGUAUCGGCACGUGUGCUGUUACGCUUGUCUCCACAUGCUUCCUUGUAUCCUUUUCACUUGCCCUAUCUGUUCCUCAGGCAGAUGCGGUAUCUUCCUUGGAAGCAUAAGAUGUUGAAGAUGAGUACUCGAGAGCAAUGCCAGGGUAAGGGGUUCCAGGCAGUCAGUUCCUGGUUGGAAGCUUGAUUCCAAGUGCUGACUGAUUGCUCUCUUUCUCCUUGUCUUGCAGGUAAGAACAAGGCCAAAGGAAAAGACAGGGAAAAAGCAUGAUAUGGGAUACUCUUGCUUUUAACCCUGAUGAUAUGAGAUAUUCUUGCUCUAGUAUAGCUUGUUUACAGAGGUAUUAUCGGGGGGAAAGAAAGCUGAAUAUUUCGAAAGGCUUCGUUGGGAGUGCCCUCUCAGAUAAGAGGAAGGGUUGAGCAUUUUUGCAGAUCUGCCUGUCCGUUGGGAAUGGAGGUCGACAUAUAUAGGAGUCUCCCUAACAUCAAGUAAUAAUGCUAUUCCUUUACCCUGCUUGGUCAUAGCACGGUAGUGGGAGCUGCCAGCUUCACAAGUUUUAACUCUGUCAGAGCACUUUGAAAAAGUGGUCUGUGGUAUCUGGAAAGCUGAUGUUGCGUGUGAAGAUUACAGACAAGCUUUAUCCAAGGAGAUCCGGCUCUUGAAGUUGGGAAAGUGGUGCCUCUUCGAUUUUCGAACAAGCAAUCCUGUCGGGGAUCUGGCUCUCGAGAUUCGGAGAACGAUGCCUCUUCGAUUUUUGAGAAAGCAAUCAUGCUGGGGGUCUGGCUCUCGAGAUUUGGAGAGCGGUGUCUUCGAUUUUUGAGAAAGUAAUCAUGUUGGGAGUUGGGAAUGUUUUCUCGAAUAUGAGUAAAGGUUGGGCAUGUUUGCUAGUCUACCUUGCCACGAAGCACAGAGGUUUGACACACAGGGACUUUCCAAUUAUCCAGCAGUGGUACUGUUCCUUUAACCCUCUCUUCGAUUUUUGAGAAAGUAAUCAUGUUAGGAGUCUGGCUCUCGAGAUUCGGAGGGCGGUGCCUCUUCGAUUUUUGGAGCAAGCAAUCUUGUUGGGGUGUUUUUCUCGAAUGUGAGUAAAGGUUGGGCAUGUUUGCUAGUCUACCUUGCCAUGAAGCACAGAGGAUGACACACAGGGACUUUCAAAUUAUCCAGCAGUGGUACUGUUCCUUUACCCUCUCUUCGAUUUUUGAGAAAGUAAUCAUGUUGGGAGUCUGGCUCUCGAGAUUCGGAGGGCGAUGCCUCUUCGAUUUUGGGGCAAGCAAUCUUGUUGGGAGUGUUUUCUCGAAUGUGAGUAAAGGUUGGGCAUGUUUGCUAGUCUACCUUGCCAUGAAGCACAGAGGUUGACACACCGGGACUUUCCAAUUAUCCAGCAGUGGUACUGUUCCUUUACCCUUGUGGGUAAUAAUAUGGUAGCUAGGCCGUCAAAAUUUAUGUGUCUAAACUUUGUUAGUGUUGUUUCUUUGCUAUUCUUUUUACCCUUCUUGGUCAGAGCGAUGUAGUGAGAGUUGCAAGCUUCACGUGUCUCGACUUUGUCAGAGAACUUUGGCAAAGUUAUAUGUGGUACCCAUGAGCUACUGUUGCGUGUGGGAAGUGGGUGAUUGAACAGUACGAUUCAUGUGCUUUCUACUUCGCCAGAAAUCUUCGACAGAAUGCCCAUAAUUUCCGCAAAGCUGAGUGUGCGUGUGACAGGUGCUGACAAGGCUGGAAAAGUAGUCUCAACUUUGUCAGAGGACUUUGGCAAAGUUAUAUGUGGUACCCAUGAGCUACUGUUGCGUGUGGGAAGUGGUGAUUGAACAGUACGAUUCAUGUGCUUUCUACUUCGCCAGAAAUCUUCGACAGAAUGGCCAUAAUUUCCGCAAAGCUGAGUGUGCGUGUGACAGGUGCUGACAAGGCUGGAAAAGUAGGUGCCUCUUCGAUUUCUGAGAUCGACCCUCGUGGUCUCUGAGCAGCCCAGCUUUUGAGAAAGCAAACCUCUUCGAUUUCUGAGAUCGGCCCUCGUGGUCUCUGAGCAGCCCAGCUUUUGAGAAAGCAAACCUCUUCGAUUUCUGAGAUCGGCCCUCGUGGUCUCUGAGCAGCCCAGCUUUUGAGAAAGCAAACCUCUUCGAUUUCUGAGAUCGGCCUUCGUGGUCUUUGAGCAGCCCAGCUUUUGAGAAAGCAAACGCCUCUUCGAUUUCUGAGAUCGACCCUCGUGGUCUCUGAGCAGCCCAGCUUUUGAGAAAGCAAACGCCUCUUCGAUUUCUGAAGCUUCGUCGAGUGCAGAUUUUUAUAGAGGCUGACAUUAAGUUCCAAAGCACACUUGAAUAUCCACCAGUAGAAGCUCCAUUCUUGCACUUCUAAGAUCUUGAUUUGUCCGACCUCUUCUCUUUUCUACAUCUUUGAAAAUGUCUGGCCCCUCCGACCGUCGUUUUGACUUGAACCUUGUUGAAGAGGCAGCCCCGCCUUCUCCAGACAACAUAUGGCGCCCAUCCUUCGUCUCCCCUACUGGUCCUCUUACCGUUGGGGAUUCCGUGAUGAAGAAUGAUAUGACCGCUGCGGUAGUGGCCAGGAACCUUCUCACUCCCAAAGAUAACAGACUACUUUCUUUCCAAACGGUCUGAUGAGUUGGCUGUUAAGGAUUCUCUGGCUCUUAGUGUUCAGUGUGCAGGUUCUGUGUCUAAUAUGGCCCAACGCCUAUUUGCUCGAACCCGCCAAGUUGAAUCAUUGGCGGCUGAAGUGAUGAGUCUCAAGCAGGAGAUUAGAGGGCUCAAGCAUGAGAAUAAACAGUUGCACCGGCUCGCACAUGACUAUGCUACAAACAUGAAGAGGAAGCUUGACCAGAUGAAGGAAUCUGAUGGUCAGGUUUUACUUGAUCAUCAGAGAUUUGUGGGUUUGUUCCAAAGGCAUUUAUUGCCUUCGUCUUCUGGGGCUGUACCGCGUAAUGAAGCUCCAAAUGAUCAACCCUCUGAUGCCUCCUCCUUCUAGGGUUCUGUCCAGUACUGAGGCUCCGAAUGAUCCCCCUCCGGUGCCUUCUCUUUCUGGGGCUCUACCGACUGCCGAGACUUCUCCUAAGCAACCUUUGUGAAGGCUCCCUCUUGUUUGUUUAUUUUGACUCAAGUAUAUGUACAUAUUUUUGUAAUUUAUCGGGGAUAUCAAUAAAUAAGCUUCCCUUCAUUUCAACGUAUUAUGUUAAAUCACCAAAGCCUUCUUCGCUAAGUUCUUUGAAUUUUCUUUUGUUGAAGCUUGUAUGUUGGAGCUUUGUGAGUGAGUGGAGCAUGUAGGUUGAGGUAGUGUUCCCUUAAUUUCCCGAGCGAGGACAACUUCUCGGUUGGAGACUUGGAAAAUCCAAGUCACUGAGUGGGAUCGGCUAUAUAUGAAUCUUAGAACGCCAUUGUGUUCUGUCCUGUGUCAUGUCCUCCGUUAGAUCCAAGUACUCUAAGUCUUUUCUUAGGGUCUCUCUCAAAGUUUUCCUGGGUCUUCCUCUACCCCUUCGACCCUGAACCUCUGUCCCAUAGUCGCAUCUUCUAAUCGGAGCGUCAGUAGGCCUUCUUUGCACAUGUCCAAACCACCGUAACCGAUUUUCUCUCAUCUUUCCUUCAAUUUCGGCUACUCCUACUUUACCCCAGAUAUCCUCAUUCCUAAUCUUAUCCUUUCUCGUGUGCCCACACAUCCAACGAAGCAUCCUCAUCUCCGCUACACCCAUUUUGUGUACGUGUUGAUGCUUCACCGCCCAACAUUCUGUGCCAUACAGCAUCGCCGGCCUUAUUGCCGUCCUAUAAAAUUUUCCCUUGAGCUUCAGUGGCAUACGGCGGUCACACAACACGCCGGAUGCACUCUUCCACUUCAUCCAUCCAGCUUGUAUUCUAUGGUUGAGAUCUCCAUCUAAUUCUCCGUUCUUUUGCAAGAACGAUCCUAGGUAACGAAAACGGUCGCUCUUUGGUAUUUCUUGAUCUCCGAUCCUCACCCCUAACUCGUUUUGGCCUCCAUUUGCACUGAACUUGCACUCCAUAUAUUCUGUCUUUGAUCGGCUUAGGCGAAGACCUUUAGAUUCCAACACUUCUCUCCAAAGGUUAAGCUUUGCAUUUACCCCUUCUUGAGUUUCAUCUAUCAACACUAUAUCGUCUGCGAAAAGCAUACACCAAGGAAUCAUCUUGAAUAUGUCCUGUUAACUCAUCCAUUACCAACGCAAAAAGGUAAGGACUUGAGGAUGAGCCUUGAUGUAAUCCUACAGUUAUGGGAAAGCUUUCGGUUUGUCCUUCAUGAGUUCUUAUGGCAGUCUUUGCUCCUUCAUACAUAUCCUGUAUAGCUUGGAUAUAUGCUACUCGUACUCCUUUCUUCUCUAAAAUCCUCCAAAGAAUGUCUCUUGGGACCCUAUCAUAUGCUUUUUCCAAAUCUAUAAAGACCAUGUGUAAAUCCUUUUUCCCAUCUCUAUAUCUUUCCAUCAAUCUUCGUAAGAGAUAGAUUGCCUCCAUGGUCGAGCGCCCUGGCAUGAACCCGAAUUGGUUGUCCGAAACCCGUGUCUCUUGCCUCAAUCUAUGCUCAACGACUCUCUCCCAGAGCUUCAUUGUAUGACUCAUUAGCUUAAUACCCCUAUAGUUCAUGCAAUUUUGUACAUCGCCCUUAUUCUUGUAGAUAGGCACCAAAGUGCUCGUUCGCCACUCAUUUGGCAUCUUCUUCGUUUUCAAAAUCCUAUUGAAAAGGUCAGUGAGCCAUGUUAUACCCGUCUCUCCCAAAACUUUCCACACUUCGAUUGGUAUAUCGUCUGGGCCUACUGCUUUUGUAUGCUUCAUCUUCUUCAAAGCUACAACCACUUCUUCCUUCCGGAUUCGACAAUAAAAAGAGUAGUUUCUACACUCUUCUGAGUUACUCAACUCCCCUAAAGAAGCACUCCUUUCAUGUCCUUCAUUGAAAAGAUUAUGAAAAUAACCUUUCCAUCUGUCUUUAACCGCGUUCUCUGUAGCAAGAACCUUUCCAUCCUCAUCCUUGAUGCACCUCACUUGGUUUAGGUCCCUUGUCUUCUUUUCCCUUGCUCUAGCUAGUUUAUAGAUAUCCAACUCUCAUUCUUUGGUAUCUAGUCGUUUAUACAUAUCGUCAUAAGCCGCUAACUUAGCUUCUCUCACAGCUUUCUUCGCCUCUUGCUUCGCUUUUCUAUACCUUUCACCAUUUUCAUCGGUCCUAUCCUUGUAUAAGGCUUUACAACAUUCCUUCUUAGCCUUCACCUUUGUUUAUACCUCCUCAUUCCACCACCAAGAUUCCUUUUGGUGUGGGGCAAAGCCCUUGGACUCUCCUAAUACCUCUUUUGCUACUUUUCGGAUACAACUAGCCAUGGAAUCCCACAUUUGGUUAGCUUCCCCCUCUCUAUCCCACACACACUGGGUGGUUAUUUUCUCUUUGAAAAUGGCUUGUUUUUCUUCUUUUAGAUUCCACCAUCUAGUCCUUGGGCACUUCCAAGUCUUGUUCUUUUUUCUCACUCUUUUGAUAUGUACAUCCAUCACCAACAAGCGAUGUUGAUUAGCCACGCUCUCUCCUGGUAUAACUUUGCAAUCCUUACAAGUUAUACGAUCCCUUUUCCUCAUUAGAAGAAAAUCUAUUUGUGUUUUUGACGACCCACUCUUGUAGGUGAUCACAUGUUCUUCCCGCUUCUUAAAGAAGGUGUUGGCUAAGAAGAGAUCAUAUGCCAUUGCAAAAUCCAAGAUAGCUUCCCCAUCCUCGUUUCUCUCCCCAAAACCAUGGCCACCAUGAAAACCUCCAUAGUUGCCUGUCUCCCUGCCCACGUGUCCAUUUAAAUCUCCUCCUAUAAAUAACUUCUCCGUCUGAGCAAUUCCUUGCACCAAGUCUCCAAGGUCUUCCCAAAAUUUCUCCUUCGAACUCGUAUCCAACCCUACUUGAGGUGCGUACGCACUAAUCACAUUGAUAAGUUCUUGUCCUAUUACAAUCUUGAUUGCCAUGAUUCUAUCUCCUACCCUCUUGACAUCUACAACAUCUUGUGUCAAGGUCUUGUCCAUGAUGAUGCCAACACCGUUUCUCGUUCUAUUUGUGCUCGAAUACCAUAGUUUAAACCCUGAGUUUUCUAGAUCCUUUGCCUUACGCCCAACCCACUUAAUUUCUUGUAGGCACAUAAUAUUUAUCCUUCUCCUCACCAUAACUUCUACUACUUCCAUAGAUUUUCCCGUCAAGGUUCCUAUAUUCCACGUUCCUAAACGCAUUUUGCUCUCUUGAACUCUACCCUUCUGUCCUAGCUUCUUCACCCUUCCCCGUCUAAUAGGAUCAAAGUACUUCUUUUGUGUGUCCCGUGUAAAGUUGAUAGGAGCAUAUGCUCCCAAACAACUUUGAGUGGAGUCGUUCGAAAAGAAGUUUCUAUAGCCCCCUUGCUCAUUUAACACUGCAUCCGGGUGCCGAUGGAGAUACAGCGACCCUUGCUCACUUAUCACUGUGCUCGGGCCACACAGCGCGCCACUUACGGGUGACGCCCUAGCUUUAGCGCGAUUUCGUUCUGGAUUCAUUUUCAUAAGGAUUCGACGUGAUCAUGGAGUGCCGGCUGUCGACUACCUGACGCCCUCCCCCUCCUCCUUUAUCCGGGCUUGGGACCGGCAAUGUAAGAUAAACUUACACGGCGGAGUUUGCGGUUCUUAGCUAAAUGAACAAAUUUACUGCACUUGUGACAUUUAGGUUUACCCUUGAAGCAACACUCCAUAGUGCAGUUUAUCACAAUGUUUACAUGCCCCCUUUUCUGCAGUGCCAAUUAAUUCAUUCUUCA